UGGGGAAUAUUGGACAAUGGGCGAAAGCCUGAUCCAGCAAUACCGCGUGUGUGAAGAAGGCCCUCGGGUUGUAAAGCACUUUCAGUAGGGAGGAAAGAAUUAGGGCUAAUACCCCUGAGAGAAGACGUUACCUACAGAAGAAGCACCGGCUAACUCUGUGCCAGCAGCCGCGGUAAUACAGAGGGUGCAAGCGUUAAUCGGAAUUACUGGGCGUAAAGCGCUCGUAGGCGGAUAUUUAAGUCGAUCGUGAAAGCCCUGGGCUUAACCUGGGAACUGCGUUCGAAACUGGAUAUCUAGAGUAUGGUAGAGGAUAGUGGAAUUCCCGGUGUAGCAGUGAAAUGCGUAGAUAUCGGGAGGAACACCAGUGGCGAAGGCGACUAUCUGGACCAAUACUGACGCUGAGGAGCGAAAGCGUGGGGAGCAAACAGGAUUAGAUACCCAGGUAGUCCCUGAGCGGGCUGGCAAGGCGCAU
This 472-nucleotide ribosomal RNA is filed under the name uncultured bacterium. Its description in RNAcentral is "bacterial SSU rRNA". It matches the Rfam family "Bacterial small subunit ribosomal RNA", at positions 355 to 825 of the family's 1533-position model. The record is from RNAcentral.